UUAAGUAAACAAAAUGAUUUUUUUUUUCUUUGGUCAAACCGAUGAAAAUCCCCUCAAUAUCUCUCUGAUUCGAUUUGGGUGUCUUUUUGAUUUGGUUUUAUAUCGUUCAAUUGCUCGGUGAUUGAAAUCGGAAUCGAGUGUGAUUGAGAGGUAGGAGAGAGGAGGAUAAUGGCUCAAGUCGUAGAAGAAUGGUACAAACAGAUGUCGAUUAUAGCGCGGUCGUAUCUCACGGCGGCUGUAGGCACCACUGCGGAUGUUCGCUCGAGAUUAUAUCUCCUUAUAAUCUCUAACUUAAUCUUAUCGUUGUGGUGAAGCAAUACCAGUUCUUGCGCCUCGUUACAAAUUUUCUAUAUUUCCGGAAUAUGGCUGAAUUCAUAGUUCUGUCUGAAGUUUUACUUUGUAGAAGAAGUGUCUGAUGUUAAGAAGUUGAAGAGCCCGUUUCUAUUUUUGCUACAGUUAUGUUAUUUUGGACUUUUUGUUCCAUAUGUUAUUUCUUGCUAGAAGAUACUGCUAACUCCUCGAAGAAAACUCCUUCAGGGGAAAGACUGCAGAUUUCCUUUACAUGCUCUUAUUUGGGGCAACUGUUUUAACUGGUAUUGUUCUCAUUGGUGGAAUGCUACCUUAUUUGUCUGUGUCAUUCUCCAAAAUCAUCUUCCUCAGCAAUUCUUUGACUUUCAUGAUGGUAACACUUCUAUCUUUCGAUUUCAAAUCUAA
Capsella rubella is the source of this 714-nucleotide long non-coding RNA. RefSeq lists it as uncharacterized. Lineage: Eukaryota; Viridiplantae; Streptophyta; Magnoliopsida; Brassicales; Brassicaceae. The transcript is spliced from 3 exons. The record is from RefSeq and is a predicted model, not a curated record.